This 473-nucleotide ribosomal RNA is filed under the name Antillattus scutiformis. RNAcentral describes it as "partial 16S ribosomal RNA". The stretch from base 84 to 381 matches the Rfam family "Bacterial large subunit ribosomal RNA", at positions 2073 to 2647 of the family's 2925-position model. The record is from RNAcentral. Lineage: Eukaryota; Metazoa; Arthropoda; Arachnida; Araneae; Salticidae.
UAGAACAAAAGAUUUAACAUUCUAAUUCAUAUAUUUAAUAUAACUUCUAAAGUUAUUCAAAAUGUAAAAAAACAUUUAUAUACUAGAAAGACGACAAGACCCUAUCGAACUUAACUUUAGUUAAACUGGGGCAGUAAAUUAAUUAUUAUUUUAAUAUAAAUAUAUAAUCAAAUAUCCAACUUAAUUGAUUAAUCCAGUUACCAUAGGGAUAACAGCGCAAUUAUAUUUUAAAGUUCUUAUACAAAAAAUAGAUUACGACCUCGAUGUUGAAUUAAUAACCUAAUUAAGGCAAAUCUUAAAACAAGGAAGUCUGUUCGACUUUUAAACAAUUACAUGAUUUGAGUUCAGACCGGUGUAAACCAGGUCGGCUUCCAUCUUCUAAACAGUUUUUUACAGUACGAAAGGACCUAAAAAUAUUUAAAAAAUUUUAUUAGCAAAUAAAUGCAUUAGAAUUAGAAUCUAAUUAAACUCUA